This 292-nucleotide ribosomal RNA is filed under the name uncultured Streptomyces sp. RNAcentral's name for it is "partial 16S ribosomal RNA". It matches the Rfam family "Bacterial small subunit ribosomal RNA", at positions 505 to 796 of the family's 1533-position model. Lineage: Bacteria; Bacillati; Actinomycetota; Actinomycetes; Kitasatosporales; Streptomycetaceae. The record is from RNAcentral.
GUGUCAGCCGCCGCGGUAAUACGUAGGGCGCGAGCGUUGUCCGGAAUUAUUGGGCGUAAAGAGCUCGUAGGCGGCUUGUCGCGUCGGUUGUGAAAGCCCGGGGCUUAACCCCGGGUCUGCAGUCGAUACGGGCAGGCUAGAGUUCGGUAGGGGAGAUCGGAAUUCCUGGUGUAGCGGUGGAAUGCGCAGAUAUCAGGAAGAACACCGGCGGCGAAGGCGGGACCCUGGGCCGGUACUGACGCUGAGGAGCGAAAGCGUGGAGAGCAAACAGGAUUAGAUACCCCGGUAGUCC